This 498-nucleotide ribosomal RNA is filed under the name uncultured bacterium. Its description in RNAcentral is "partial 16S ribosomal RNA". It matches the Rfam family "Bacterial small subunit ribosomal RNA", at positions 27 to 507 of the family's 1533-position model. The record is from RNAcentral.
GGAUGAACGCUGGCGGCGUGCCUAAUACAUGCAAGUCGAGCGAACGGACGAGAAGCUUGCUUCUCUGAUGUUAGCGGCGGACGGGUGAGUAACACGUGGAUAACCUACCUAUAAGACUGGGAUAACUUCGGGAAACCGGAGCUAAUACCGGAUAAUAUUUUGAACCGCAUGGUUCAAAAGUGAAAGACGGUCUUGCUGUCACUUAUAGAUGGAUCCGCGCUGCAUUAGCUAGUUGGUAAGGUAACGGCUUACCAAGGCAACGAUGCAUAGCCGACCUGAGAGGGUGAUAGGCCAAACUGGAACUGAGACACGGUCCAGACUCCUAAGGGAGGCAGCAGUAGGGAAUCUUCCGCAAUGGGCGAAAGCCUGACGGAGCAACGCCGCGUGAGUGAUGAAGGUCUUCGGAUCGUAAAACUCUGUUAUUAGGGAAGAACAUAUGUGUAAGUAACUGUGCACAUCUUGACGGUACCUAAUCAGAAAGCCACGGCUAGCUACGUG